Small nuclear RNA from Microtus ochrogaster (prairie vole), 117 nucleotides. Its record names the gene U5. It matches the Rfam family "U5 spliceosomal RNA". From Rfam's summary of the family: U5 RNA is a component of both types of known spliceosome. The precise function of this molecule is unknown, though it is known that the 5' loop is required for splice site selection and p220 binding, and that both the 3' stem-loop and the Sm site are important for Sm protein binding and cap methylation. The record is from Ensembl. NCBI's taxonomy places the organism in Eukaryota, Metazoa, Chordata, Mammalia, Rodentia, Cricetidae.
AUACUCUGGUUUCUCUUCAGAUCGUACAAAUCUUUCGCCUUUUACUAAAGAUUUCCGUGGAGAGGAACAACUGUUGAGUCUUUACACAAUUUUUUGAGGUCCUGCCUAUGCAGGUCA